UCCCUGGUGGCUCAGAUAGUAAAGCGUCUGCCUGCAAUGCGGGAGACCCGGGUUUGAUCCCUGGGUUGGGAA
This 72-nucleotide transfer RNA is filed under the name Bos taurus (domestic cattle). It matches the Rfam family "tRNA". From Rfam's summary of the family: Transfer RNA (tRNA) molecules are approximately 80 nucleotides in length. Their secondary structure includes four short double-helical elements and three loops (D, anti-codon, and T loops). Further hydrogen bonds mediate the characteristic L-shaped molecular structure. tRNAs have two regions of fundamental functional importance: the anti-codon, which is responsible for specific mRNA codon recognition, and the 3' end, to which the tRNAs corresponding amino acid is attached (by aminoacyl-tRNA synthetases). tRNAs cope with the degeneracy of the genetic code in two manners: having more than one tRNA (with a specific anti-codon) for a particular amino acid; and 'wobble' base-pairing, i.e. permitting non-standard base-pairing at the 3rd anti-codon position. RNAcentral also lists the same sequence under 5 other names. The record is from Rfam by way of RNAcentral. Lineage: Eukaryota; Metazoa; Chordata; Mammalia; Artiodactyla; Bovidae.